GGCUUUGUAGUCGAAAUAGUAAGGACACUUGCCUCUCACCCUGGAGUCCCGGGUUCGAUCCCCGGCCGAGGAGAUCG
Non-coding RNA from Rhamnusium bicolor, 77 nucleotides. The record is from the annotation of a GenBank genome assembly. Lineage: Eukaryota; Metazoa; Arthropoda; Insecta; Coleoptera; Cerambycidae.